AACGAGAAGUGAUAGUUCAGUAGAGGAGUGUAGAGGGAGUCACAUGCAUCACAUGAGCAUGUCAUGCUUCUAUUGGUGAGGAGGUGACGCAUAAUGAUUUGCAGGAGAGACAUAUUGGAAUCUUGAAAUUCCAAUAGGAUGGAGCAGAAGGCUUGUGGCAUGCAUAAGAACAUGUUUGCAUGCAGAGAACAACACUGAACGAGAAUAGCUGAUCUUGUGAGAGGAGAAGCAGUGUCCAUUCCAAUAAAUGGGAAAUUCAGCAUGGAGAGCAGCACAGCAUUUUUACUUUCUGCCCCAGGUGAAAAUUUGGUUCACUCCUGCUGAUGAGCAUUGUUAGUCAAGCACUGAAAUACAGAGAAGUUAGUGAAAGUGAAAAAAGUUAGACCGAGUGAUUGCCAGUUUAGACAUAACAGCCAAUUUCUAAAGUGAAAGUUUCACAGUUUGUAUUGCAACAACAGAGAUAAAGAAGAAGAAGAAUUUGUUUUGUCAAUUGGGUUCUAAAGUAAUUGAACCAGCAUGUGUGGAAGUUUGACGAAAAAGGGAAUUAUUUAAAGCUCUACAUUCGACUGUGGUAAACAAUAGUGUAAUGAAUUUUUGUACAUAUGUUGA
Long non-coding RNA from Limulus polyphemus (Atlantic horseshoe crab), 609 nucleotides. RefSeq lists it as uncharacterized. The transcript has 3 exons. Lineage: Eukaryota; Metazoa; Arthropoda; Merostomata; Xiphosura; Limulidae. The record is from RefSeq and is a predicted model, not a curated record.